Molecule: ribosomal RNA, 433 nt
Filed under: uncultured bacterium
Lineage: Bacteria
Description: partial 16S ribosomal RNA
Rfam family: Bacterial small subunit ribosomal RNA
Source: RNAcentral
AACGAACGCUGGCGGCAUGCCUAACACAUGCAAGUCGAACGAGACCUUCGUGUCUAGUUGCGCUCGGGUGCGUAACGCGUGGGAACCUGCCCUUAGGUUCGGAAUACUUCCCCGUAAGGGGUGCUAAUACCGGAUAAUGUCCUCUGACCAAAGAUGUAUCGCCUUUGUAUGGGCCCGCGUUGUUUUAGCUGGUUGGUAGGGGAAGAGCCUAUCAAGGCUUAGAUACAUAGCUGGUUUGAGAGGAAGAGCAGCCACACUGGGGCUGAGACACGGUCCAGAAUACUACGGGAGGGAGCAGAGGGGAAUAUAGGAAUACGGGGGAAAGGAUGAACCAGCAAGGGCGGGUGAGUGAUGAAGGCGGGAGGGAAGUGAAGCAGUUUAACACGGGAUGAUAAUGACAGUACCGGGAGAAUAAGCACCGGCUAACUCCGUG